RNAcentral lists this transfer RNA (75 nucleotides) under Hyphomonadaceae bacterium. RNAcentral's name for it is "tRNA-Val". It matches the Rfam family "tRNA". Rfam says of the family: Transfer RNA (tRNA) molecules are approximately 80 nucleotides in length. RNAcentral also lists the same sequence under 1 other name. The record is from RNAcentral. Lineage: Bacteria; Pseudomonadati; Pseudomonadota; Alphaproteobacteria; Hyphomonadales; Hyphomonadaceae.
GGGCGAUUAGCUCAGCGGGAGAGCACGCCCUUCACACGGGCGGGGUCGUAGGUUCAAUCCCUACAUCGCCCACCA